CAAACACAAAUAAACACAAUCCGAAUUAGAAAGAUAAAAGAACAGACAAUU
Molecule: unclassified non-coding RNA, 51 nt
Filed under: Bodo saltans
Lineage: Eukaryota; Euglenozoa; Kinetoplastea; Eubodonida; Bodonidae
Source: RNAcentral